CCUACGGGUGGCUGCAGUGAGGAAUAUUGGUCAAUGGACGAGAGUCUGAACCAGCCAAGUAGCGUGAAGGAUGACUGCCCUAUGGGUUGUAAACUUCUUUUAUAUGGGAAUAAAACGUUCCACGUGUGGGAUUUUGUAUGUACUAUAUGAAUAAGGAUCGGCUAACUCCGUGCCAGCAGCCGCGGUAAUACGGAGGAUCCGAGCGUUAUCCGGAUUUAUUGGGUUUAAAGGGAGCGUAGGUGGAUUUUUAAGUCAGUUGUGAAAGUUUUCGGCUCAACCGUAAAAUUGCAGUUGAAACUGGCAGUCUUGAGUACAGUAGAGGUGGGCGGAAUUCGUGGUGUAGCGGUGAAAUGCUUAGAUAUCACGAAGAACUCCGAUUGCGAAGGCAGUUCACUGGACUGCAACUGACACUGAGGCUCGAAAGUGUGGGUAUCAAACAGGAUUAGAUACCCCUGUAGUC
RNAcentral lists this ribosomal RNA (460 nucleotides) under uncultured bacterium. Its description in RNAcentral is "partial 16S ribosomal RNA". It matches the Rfam family "Bacterial small subunit ribosomal RNA", at positions 338 to 795 of the family's 1533-position model. The record is from RNAcentral.